UUACCAUCUCAUUUGCUGCAUUGAAGCAUUUUCCUUGGAAGAAUGUACCUGUGUAUAUUGGUGCACAAAUAUUGGCAUCAAUAUGUGCUGCAUUUUCUUUGAAAGUGAUUUUUCAUCCAUUCAUGAAUGGUGGAGUGACGGUUCCUUCAGUAGCAAUUGGUGAAGCUUUUGCAUUAGAAUUAAUUAUUGACUUUAAUCUCACUGUUGUUGCCACCGACACAAGAGCUAUGGGAGAAUUUGCGGGAAUCACGGUGGGAGCCACCAUCAUGCUCAACAUACUCAUAGCCGGGUAUGUUCAACGUUAUUAUUUUUA
Non-coding RNA from Cicer arietinum (chickpea), 313 nucleotides. The record is from RefSeq and is a predicted model, not a curated record. NCBI's taxonomy places the organism in Eukaryota, Viridiplantae, Streptophyta, Magnoliopsida, Fabales, Fabaceae.